UCUCUCGUUCACUCACUCAACCUGGGUGUGAUGCUUAUUUGAAUCAUCACAACCUCCUUGAGUGAGCGACCGCGAAU
Molecule: non-coding RNA, 77 nt
Organism: Anopheles culicifacies
Lineage: Eukaryota; Metazoa; Arthropoda; Insecta; Diptera; Culicidae
Source: Rfam